Molecule: long non-coding RNA, 773 nt
Organism: Lates calcarifer (barramundi perch)
Lineage: Eukaryota; Metazoa; Chordata; Actinopteri; Centropomidae
Exons: 3
Source: RefSeq, a predicted model, not a curated record
CUACCGUCGACACUCGAACAUGACUGCUCUACUUCAACAAGAGAGCUAACAGCAUUGGAAGAACAUGGUGGCAGGAAGAGGAAGACUGAAACGUACCAUAAAGAAGAAGAGGCAACUCCUGCCAGAUACUGGCCAGUCUGUAGAGCAAAAAUGGUGCUACAAUUGCUCCGAUGUCGCUGGCUGAUGAACACGCUGACACGCCCAAGUUUCUGGGAUCAGCUGUCACGCGCUGGAGGGGGAUAGCCUGCUGAACGCGGGGGGGAAACGCACGGACGUGAGAACCCCUUGCAAACCCCCCAUCUGCACGUCAUGGAACAUUUGCAGAACAGGGACCUCCCACCUUAAAGGCGUGCAACAGAGAGCAGACACAACAGUGAGAUCUGCCCCGCACUGAACUCACCAUCUCAGGUAACAAAUGCACCUCCAGCUAUUGUGGACCGGCGGAGGUUAAGGCUUCAAAAAAAACAACAAAAAAACAAAACAAACAAACAAACAAACAAAAAAAAACGGUAUGCCCGCGGUGUGAAGCAGCGGUGAACAGAGGCUUACCGGUCACUGUGCAGCGUGCAGAUAACUCCACAACUCCGACAGUUUUUCAGAUGCAUAAGAAGGAAUAUUGUUUCCUGGGUCGUCUGUGCACAGCAGGGGUGCAGAGAUCAGUUUUGCGCCGUCAGCGUGCUUUACAAUGACCCGCACGGCUGUGGCGCUAUUAAAGAUGCGAGCAGCAGGGGGCGCUACAGGGACGCAUCACAAUUCAGUCAUGAUCGGGAGUG